RNAcentral lists this ribosomal RNA (602 nucleotides) under uncultured bacterium. RNAcentral describes it as "bacterial SSU rRNA". It matches the Rfam family "Bacterial small subunit ribosomal RNA", at positions 338 to 1499 of the family's 1533-position model. The record is from RNAcentral.
CCUACGGGAGGCAGCAGUGGGGAAUCUUGCGCAAUGGGCGAAAGCCUGACGCAGCCAUGCCGCGUGAAUGAUGAAGGUCUUAGGAUUGUAAAAUUCUUUCAGUAGGGACGAUAAUGACGGUACCUACAGAAGGAGCCCCGGCUAACUUCGUGCCAGCAGCCGCGGUAAUACGAAGGGGGCUAGCGUUGCUCGGAAUUACUGGGCGUAAAGGGAGCGUAGGCGGGUUAUCAAGUUGGAGGUGAAAGCCCAGGGCUCAACCUUGGAAUAGCCUUCAAAACUGAUAACCUAGAGGAUGGAAGAGGUAAGUGGAACUCCGAGUGUAGAGGUGAAAUUCGUAGAUAUUCGGAAGAACACCAGUGGCGAAGGCGACUUACUGGUCCAUUACUGACGCUGAGGCUCGAAAGCGUGGGGAGCAAACAGGAUUAGAUACCCUGGUAGUCCACGCUGUAAACGAUGAUUGCUAGUUGUCGGCAGGCAUGCCUGUCGGUGACGCAGCUAACGCAUUAAGCAAUCCGCCUGGGGAUACGGUCGCAAAGAUUAAAAACCUCAAAAGGUAUUAGUACGGCGUGAGGAACGUAGCCGACGAAGCACCGAGGAGGUAG